GGCAAGAAGAAUAGUUUCUGCUGUAAAACUUGUUCAACUUCUCCCAAUGUUUCUUUUGGCACAGAGGAGAGUUCUUGCCAUAAACGUUGCUUAGCUUCCCCCCAACGUUUCUGUUGGCCUAGAGAGUUGUUGCUUAACAUCUCGCCCAUUCUGAAGUUUGAGUGAGGUUCCCACCAGUGGUUGAAAUUAUUUUGGUAGAAUUGAGUGCCCACAUAAUCAAAUUCUUGUCUAAACUGCAUUCUGCAAACAUUAGGCACAAAACCCUAGAAAACAUUUAUUAGG
RNAcentral lists this long non-coding RNA (282 nucleotides) under Vigna radiata. RNAcentral describes it as "long non-coding RNA (VRAD_LNC016019)". Lineage: Eukaryota; Viridiplantae; Streptophyta; Magnoliopsida; Fabales; Fabaceae. The record is from RNAcentral.